Molecule: long non-coding RNA, 5172 nt
Filed under: Zostera marina
Lineage: Eukaryota; Viridiplantae; Streptophyta; Magnoliopsida; Alismatales; Zosteraceae
Description: long non-coding RNA (ZMAR_LNC000213)
Source: RNAcentral
UGAAUUAUCGAUUGUCAACCCUGAUGCUCCCAUCAUGCUCAAUCGCAUGCUUAGACUACUUGCCAGCCACAAUAUCGUCAUCUGCAAAUCAAAAUCAUAUAGUAAUUGUGAUGAAAACACCAUAGUUGGUACUACGUUAUAUGGUAUUGGCCCUAUAUCUAAGUAUUUUGUCAAAAAUGAGGAUGGUGUUUCACUAGCUCCCAUGCUUGCCGCAAUCCAAGAUAAGGUUUACAUGAAAAGUUGGUAAGCUAUUUUUUUAUCAUCUUUAAUUCCAACUUUAAGAAAUCAAUCAUAACAUGUUAUAUUUAUAGGAAAACAUAAGAUAGUUUGAGACAUUUGAAACUAGGCCGUCCAUUUGAGAUAUGUAUCAUAUUAUACUUAUAUUUAAUCAUAUUAUACUUAUAUUUAAUCAUAUUAAAGAAACCAUUAGAUUUAAAAUUAACGACAUAAAUAUUGAAGAUAUCUCUUAUAAUAUCUCAAGAUUUUUUUUAUAGGUACUACUUGAAAGAAGCAGUGAUGACAGGUGGUAUUCCAUUCAACAUGGCGUACGGAAUGUCAGCUUUUGAGUAUCAUAGUAUAGAUGUGAGGUUCAAUAAUCUAUUUAAUAAAGCAUUUUUUAAUAUGACAAUCCUUAUGAAGAAAAUUCUUCAUUUAUAUAAUGGAUUUGAGAGUAUCAACAAAUUGGUUGAUGUUGGUGGGGGCACUGGAGCCAAUCUAAACAUCAUAAUCUCGCAACAUCCAACCAUAAAGGGUGUCAACUUCGACCUUCCUCAUGUCAUCAAAAAUGCCCCCUUAUUUAAAGGUAACAUAAUAUAUCCAGAAUCAGUAUAUAAUUGAAUGUUUUGCGGAAACUAAUUAUGUAUGAUUGUGUUCUGUUUUACAGGAGUGAAACAUGUUGGCGGAGACAUGUUUGAGAAGGUUCCUAGUGGUGAUGCCAUUUUUAUGAAGGUAUAUAUCUUAAACUGGCCUUUAAUUUUCCAUAUAUUGAUUCUAACCCAGAUAAGUACAUCACUGUUUUGUUUUAUGCAGUUUAUCCUACAUGAUUGGAGCGACGAUCAUUGUGUGAAGUUAUUGAAGAAUUGUUGGAAACAACUUCCAAAAAAUGGAAUGGUUAUCGUCUGUGAAUUUACUAUUCCCGUUGAACCACAAGAAGAUAAUUCAGCUUUCUAUAGUGAUAUGUCGAUGUUGACACUAAAUCCGGGAGGUAAGGAGAGGACUGAAAGUGAAUAUAGUUUACUGGCGAAGAAAGCAGGAUUUGUCGAUUUCAAAGUUGCAUGUGAUGUAUAUGGAAUGUACAUCAUGGAAUUCAGUAAGUAGUUGCACGCCCAAAUUUCUUCCUUAUGUGGAAAUACUAAAUAAAAUUAAAGCUUAUAUACACAACUUGAUUAGUCCAGUUGGUAACUAUCACUAUUAAGGUGGACGAACUGUUAAAGGUCCAGGGUUUGAGUCUCAAUGUAUGUAUUUUAAUUUAUAUUUACUUUUGUAUCAGUUUAUCAAAAAAUAAAAAUGUUUGCAAUAUAUAUAUAUAGAGAAAAAAUCAGGAACGACCCUGAUCGCACGGUGCCCUAAAACGGUACCUGCCCCCUCCGCCUUGCGAUUCCACAUCCACGGUCGUCUCCUCUCCAAGCCAACGUAUCUACCGAUGGCCAAUCUACCUCUAACAGAGUAAUGUGAGAUACUGUCAGUAACUGCGAUUUCGGUCCCGCAACAGAGUAACUGCGAUUUCGGUUCCGCGGAACCCAUCGCGAGUUCCGCGGAACUCGAUCGCGGUUCUGCGGAACUCGAUUUCGCAGAACCGGAACCGAAAUCGCGAUAGUGAGGGCCUCUGACACUGGCAGUGUGCCGGAAACGAAUCUUGCUGCGAAGAAGCCAAAGAUCUUAGUUGCCGGAGGCGGAAUCGAUUUGAGUACCAACUGCACAAACAUCGGUUGGUGUUCUUUUCCACCACUGGAAGCCUCAAUUGCUUUUUUCCCAACAAUCAUCUUGGUUUUGUGGUUGAAAUAACGCAGACCCCAAAGACCUUUAUUCAGAGCAGUUGAACUCGCACCCAAUUUUGAUGCAUACAUCUCUGCAAACUGAGCAAUGCCGAAUCCCCAACCAUCUAGCGCACAGACGAAGACCACAUUUCCUUUCUGUGGCUGGAACGUAUCUGCCUCAUUGUCUUCCUCCUCUACGAAUUCUUCUCCUACAGUGCUGGAUCCAGUGAUGAAGAGAUCCACAUCAGAGAGGUACUUGACAGAUUUAAACCCACUGAUAAUUCCAUUGACAUCGUGAAUAAUCCUUUGCAAUUUCGUAUAGGCUUCCAUCGGACUCAACUUUAACUCUGUGAUCAAUCGAUCGAUCUUGUUGAGGACGAGACAAGGAGUCAACUUCUCAAUCCAUGCCUGACGGAGAGCAGCAUGGGUUUGGAUAUGAACACCUUCGACGGAAACAACCAGAACCAAAGCCCCAUCACUUAAUCUGGCGGCAGUGGACACCUCGCUGCAGAAGUCGAUGUGUCCAGGGGAAUCAAUAAGGUUUAUGGAAUGUUCACCGUAUUUCAAUAAAAUAGAAGAGCUUUUCAUUGUGAUGGCUCGCCGUUGUUCCGCGGAACUCGAUCGCGGUUCCGCGGAACUCGAUCGCGGUUCCGCGGAACUCGAUCGCGGUUCCGCGGAAUCGGAAUCGGACCGCCGUGGAAUCGGAAUCGGAACGACGCGGAAUCGGAACGUCGUGGAAUCGGAAUCGGAACGACGCGAAAUCGGAAUCGGAACCGGAACCGUACGGAUCGAGGAGGGGAACGCACGGUGCGGACGGGCCGUGCCAGAUGUUUUUCCUAUAUAUAUAUACGUGUCUAUAUUUAUAUUUGUUUAAGAUGAAUGUCUAUAUACAAUUUCCAUUCUCAUAUAUACGUGUAUUAGGUCGUGGUAGGGGUGAGAAUGGUCCCGGGUCACCCCUUAGACCCGUCUCGUACGUUCCGUGUCUUGGUGGGAACAGGAUCGAGGUAGGAUUUUGCCCCGAAUUUUUUUUCCCGCCUUGUUGCUCCGGUCAUUUUAUGGAGCAGGUGUUAGGGCAGGGAAAACUAUAAUUUUCCUUUUAUUUUUAGCCUCGAUCAUAUUUUCGAGGGCGGGUCUCAGAGCUUGUAAAUGGUACAUCAAAAUUUGAAUUCGAGUUUGAAUUUUUUUAAAACUAUUUGAAUUUGGUUAUUCAAAUUUCAAAUGCGAAUUCAGUUUUCAAUUUUUGAAUCCGUGAAAUAUUUGGUCGAAUAUACGAAUUCAAUUCAACAAUUUGAGGUAUUAGACAUCUCAACUAAUGAUCAUAUAAUACAAAACACACCAAAAAAAGAGAAACAGUCCUCAAUCAACAAUGACCCAAUAACAUCAUUGGUGACUAAGAUAAGUAUCUCAGACAAACAAAAACAUUAUGAAAAAUCUACUAGUCCAAAAUAGCAAACAAAAACACUCUUCUGGACUAAUUAGAGAAUGAGAAGAACAUAUCCAAAUCUGAAUUGGGAGAGAAAAUUAAAAGCACAAAGAUGUCAAAAACAUUAAAAUCAAAAAGGUGAGAAGACCCUUCAAAAAGACCAACUAAAUAUGAUGAUAUCUAUUGUCCUAGUUUCAAAGAAACCAGAAAAUGAAAGUAUAUCAAAUCACAGGUUUAAUGAAAAACAUAAAGAUUUUGUGAAAACAAUCACAAAAGAAACAAAAUCAAAACAUUACCAUCAUGCCAAGUGUUACCCAAAAUGGCGUCAGACUAUGAAUGAGGAAAUGUUGGCUCUUAAAAAGAACAACAUAUGUUCCAUAUAUAGUACCGUUACCAUCUAACAAAAAGCCCAUAGGCUCAAGAUGGAUAAAAUAAAAUACAAAUCUGAUGAGACCAUUGAGAGAUACAAAGCUCGACUACUAACCAACUCAAUACCCAAACUAGUAUCAUUCAAAACACUAUUAACCAUAGUGGAAGACUUAAAUGAAGCUCCAUCAAAUGGAUGUAUACAAUGCAUUCUUGCGCACAUGAAGACCCAAAUGAGGAAAUAUAUAUGAUUAUAGCCCAAAUGCAUGUUCUGGAUUUUUAUGGCCAAAAGAUUUUUCAUUUUUCACAACACACCAUAAGACCAAAAACUGAUUCUUUCAACAUGCAAGGAGUAGCUCUUAAAUGAUUUUUAUGGAUGGAGUCCAGCAACUAUCUGACUACAUGGCUUGCAUUUGUCAAGUCUAUAUUAAAGAAAUUUAAUCCAACUACAUGCACCACUCCAGGUGGAAAACUCAGUAAAUUUGUUUCAAACAUCAACAGUUGCUGAUUUCAUGGAGAAAUUUGAAGAUUACUCAUCAAAAGUAAUAGGAAUCCCUGAUUAGCUAUUAUUAAAAUGUUCCUAUCAUGCCCAAAGGAUGAUAUUCAAAAAGAUGUAGUGACACAGCAAAACUUGAAGAUUUACCAGAGGCUAUGAUCAAGGUGGCUAUUCAUCUUGAAAAACAGGGAACAAGAAGCACUUCAACCUUCAAACAAGGAGGAUACAAAUCCAUCCAUGAAAGGCAAUAUAUACUACACCAAGAAUAAUAUUAAGUGAGUAUAUAACUCUAAUAUGGCCAGCAACACAAUCACCAACACUCCCAAAACAGAAAAUCUAAACCCAAAUUUCAAGAGCCUCACAUUUGCUGAGAGAAAAAAAAGAACUUCCAAAGGGUUAUGCUUUAAUUAUGAUGAAAAAUUCUCACCGAGACACAAAUGUAGAGGAAAAUUAUUCAGAUUUUCAGAUAAAAACAACACCUUCUGAGAACUAGCAGAUACAGAUGAAGGAGAAGAAGAAGCUGGAAUUAAAAUUCUGAAGAUCGAGGAAGAGUCUGAAAUCAGCCUUCAAGCAUUACAGGGAAGAAUUGGCAUAAUAAACAUCAGACUGGAAGGCUUCAUCAAAAGCUUUAAGACAGACCUUUCAAUCAAAAUGGAACAUACACAAGAAUGGUGGUAGGAUAUUGGAAUAUUAAAAUACAAAUCACUUCUUACUUUCUUUGUAGAUCUUAGAAGAUUAGAAGUACAAGUGUUGAACCGUAGAUCUCGAUCUUUUUGAAAGCUUUUUGGUGCUAGACCACAACUUGAGGGAUGAAUGAUUGAACUCAAAGAUUGAAGAUUUGAAGAGAGUUUGGAAGCUCAAAAACGUUGUAGUGUGUUGGCUUCAAAUGAUGAAAGUUUCCCUCUAUUUAU